GAUGAAGAACGCAGCGAAAUGCGAUAAUUAAUGUGAAUUGCAGAAUUCCGUGAAUCAUCGAGUCUUUGAACGCACAUUGCGCCUCAUGGCAUUCCGUGAGGCAUGCCCAUCUCAGCGUUAGAAAAUAUUCUCAAAUUUUAGUUUUGUGCUAAAAUUUGGAUCAUGUCAAGGAAGCUAUUACUAUUAUUGUGAUCGCUCUUUGGAAAUUGAUAGGUCUUUGAGUUGCUACUCAUAGAACGUGAUGAAUCUUUCUUCGUUCUAUUGUAAUUCACUCUGGUAGUCCUAAAACUUGUAUGCCUGUGGCAUAUCUUGUAAUUUGACCUGAGAUUGGGUAGGGAUACCCGCUGAACUUAAGCAUAUCAUAAGCGGAGGA
RNAcentral lists this unclassified non-coding RNA (373 nucleotides) under soil metagenome. Its description in RNAcentral is "partial contains internal transcribed spacer 2 and large subunit ribosomal RNA". The stretch from base 1 to 120 matches the Rfam family "5.8S ribosomal RNA", at positions 35 to 154 of the family's 154-position model. The record is from RNAcentral.